RNAcentral lists this ribosomal RNA (253 nucleotides) under uncultured bacterium. RNAcentral describes it as "partial 16S ribosomal RNA". It matches the Rfam family "Bacterial small subunit ribosomal RNA", at positions 524 to 776 of the family's 1533-position model. The record is from RNAcentral.
UACAGAGGUCCCAAGCGUUGUUCGGAAUCACUGGGCGUAAAGGGUGCGUAGGCGGUAUGGUAAGACUUGGGUGAAAUCUCCAUGCUUAACGUGGAGGGAGCCUGGGAGACUGCCGUGCUGGAGGAUUGGAAGGGAGACUGGAAUUCUUGGAGUAGCAGUGAAAUGCGUAGAUAUCAAGAGGAACACCAGUGGCGAAGGCGAGUCUCUGGACAAGACCUGACGCUGAGGCACGAAGGCCAGGGGAUCAAACGGG